CCUACGGGAGGCUGCAGUGAGGAAUAUUGGUCAAUGGCCGGAAGGCUGAACCAGCCAAGCCGCGUGAAGGACGAAGGUGCCAAGCAUUGUAAACUUCUUUUGUCAAGGGACAAAAUCAGGCUCGAGAGCCUGACCGAGGGUACUUGAAGAAAAAGCAGCGGCUAACUCCGUGCCAGCAGCCGCGGUAAUACGGAGGAUGCGAGCGUUAUCCGGAUUUCUUGGGGUUAAAGGGUGCGUAGGAGGACUGUUAAGUCAGCGGGAAAAGCCCGUGGCUCAACCCCGGCGAGGCGUUGAAACUGGCUGUCUUGCGCUGUCGAGCGGUCUGCGGCAUGCGCCGUGUAGCGGU
This 346-nucleotide ribosomal RNA is filed under the name uncultured bacterium. Its description in RNAcentral is "partial 16S ribosomal RNA". It matches the Rfam family "Bacterial small subunit ribosomal RNA", at positions 338 to 682 of the family's 1533-position model. The record is from RNAcentral.